AGAAUCAACGCUGGCGGCGUGCCUCAGACAUGCAAGUCGAACGAUUAAAGCUCUCUUCGGAGAGUGUAUAGAGUGGCGCACGGGUGAGUAACACGUAAGUAAUCUACCUCGGGGUGGGGAAUAACGUUCGGAAACGGACGCUAAUACCGCAUAAUGCAGCGGCUUCUUAUGUAAGACAGUUGUUAAAGCAUUUAUGUGCCUGGAGAGGAGCUUGCGGCAGAUUAGCUAGUUGGUAAGGUAAUGGCUUACCAAGGCGACGAUCUGUA
Molecule: ribosomal RNA, 266 nt
Filed under: uncultured bacterium
Lineage: Bacteria
Description: partial small subunit ribosomal RNA
Rfam family: Bacterial small subunit ribosomal RNA
Source: RNAcentral